AAAACAACUCUCGGCAACGGAUAUCUCGGCUCUCGCAUCGAUGAAGAACGUAGCGAAAUGCGAUACUUGGUGUGAAUUGCAGAAUCCCGUGAACCAUCGAGUCUUUGAACGCAAGUUGCGCCCAAAGCCUUCGGGCUAAGGGCACGUCUGCCUGGGUGUCACGC
This 164-nucleotide ribosomal RNA is filed under the name Nymphanthus lamprophyllus. RNAcentral's name for it is "Phyllanthus lamprophyllus 5.8S ribosomal RNA". It matches the Rfam family "5.8S ribosomal RNA". Rfam says of the family: 5.8S ribosomal RNA (5.8S rRNA) is a component of the large subunit of the eukaryotic ribosome. RNAcentral also lists the same sequence under 4 other names. Lineage: Eukaryota; Viridiplantae; Streptophyta; Magnoliopsida; Malpighiales; Phyllanthaceae. The record is from RNAcentral.